GACGAACCGUCCAAACGUUAUUCGGAAUUACUGGGCUUAAAGGGUGCGUAGGCGGCUCUGCAAGUUGGGUGUGAAAUCCCUCGGCUCAACCGAGGAAUGGCGCCCAAAACUGUGGAGCUCGAGGGAGACAGAGGUGAGUGGAACUUGUGGUGGAGCGGUGAAAUGCGUUGAUAUCACAAGGAACACAGGUGGCGAAAGCGGCUCACUGGGUCUCUUCUGACGCUGAGGCACGAAAGCUGGGGGAGCGAACGGGAUUAGAUACCCCUGUAGU
RNAcentral lists this ribosomal RNA (271 nucleotides) under uncultured prokaryote. Its description in RNAcentral is "partial 16S ribosomal RNA". It matches the Rfam family "Bacterial small subunit ribosomal RNA", at positions 524 to 794 of the family's 1533-position model. The record is from RNAcentral.